Long non-coding RNA from Equus caballus (horse), 2192 nucleotides. NCBI's taxonomy places the organism in Eukaryota, Metazoa, Chordata, Mammalia, Perissodactyla, Equidae. The record is from Ensembl.
CCGGAACUUUCCCACAGUUGACACGAGCUGCUGUCCCCUCCCCGGCGAGCUGCGCACCGUCACUCAGCAAGCCAGUGUCGCGAUGACCGCCUGGAUCCCGGUUUCGGAAAAUAAAAUCCAUCGGGAGGCCUGCGGAGACUCUCGGGCCACACGGACAGGGUGACCCCGGCUACUUCCCGCCUGACCGGGAGCAGAGGCCACGUCCGGCCCACGCGAGUGAGCCCACAGGAGGCGGCGGGAGUCACCGGCUCCGCUGAGCGCCUGAGACCGUCACUCCGAGGCGAGGGCCGUGUCCCUCAUGGCCGCCCGACCCUGAGGAAGAGGCCGGCUGCCUGCGCUCCCGCCGCCCCCGCUGCCCCAGCCCAGCCCAGCCCAGCCCUGCCCUACCCUACCCCUGGCCUCCUCAGCCCGCACCGUGGCUCCCGCGGGCUCCAGCUGGAGGGCCCAGGCCGCCCCGCCAUCUCCUCUCUGGUUUGGUGCCUCCGCGGGGAUUGGAUGAACCCCCGCCAGGGGUGGGGCGUCCUGCAGCGCGCCUGCGCAGUGUGCUCCGCCUGACUGCCGCCGCAGCAGGGCUAACGGUUCCGGGCAAGCGCUAGUGCGCAUGCUUAAAACCGUUGGGCCGCUGUUCAGGGUAGAGGAAGCCAGGGCCGUGUGCGGUCUUCCAGGCUUGCGAUUGGCCACUUGAGGAGUCGCUGACCUGCGCAUGUGUAGAGGCCUCCAGAGGGGCCGUCCUCGCUUGAUGUCGCCGGUGUUGCGGCAAGUGUGCCUGCGGCCUGUGCGGGGGACCGAGUUCAAGUCCCGUCUCUGCCAGUGUUCAUCACUGCGUGCCCAGGAGGGUUUCUGGUUCACCCAGGACUCCACGUCAGCGUUCUGGAGCGAGGCCGAGUGUGUUGGCCCCACUAGACUAAUCUUGGUGGCCUUUCAGGGCUGGAUGCGGAGGAGAGUGAAGGGAGGAGCCAGGCCCCCGUUGCUACCAGUUUGAUCCUGAGGCGGGCCCUACCCCUCCCCCCCCCGUGGUCACGUCCGCACCCGAGGUGGGCUGCGAGGGAUUGGACAGUGUCAGGGUCUGCAAGGUGGGCAGGGGGUGCAGAUACUCCAGAGUAUUCCUUUGGGGUCUGGGUGGCCGUGGUGGGGGUGGCUCCUCUGGCUGGUAGUGGGCCAGAGUGUCCUGCCCUGUGCUGCGCAGGUGGUCACCUGGGGCCUGGGGCAGGUGGUCACCCAGCCCCUCCCAGGCUCCCUGCCUGUGUGCUGUGCGGAUUUCCCGUUUCUGGGGAGAGGCAGAGCUCCAAGGCCAGUGAGGGACCAGCGGACCUGGAUGCAGGCACUGCAGGUUCAAGUUCCUGGCCUCAGUCUGCGCAUCUUGUGCCGUCACUGUGCACAAAGCCUCUUUUGAGACAUUUCACCCCUAAUGUCCCUCAUCUGUUGGCCGAGAUCCAAUCACAACAGUAAUAACCAACCAUAAGGAGCAGUUCUGAGCACUACGUCUUCAAAGCCCUGCUAUAAGAGCCAAUCUCAGUUUUCAUCAUCUGUAGACUAGGAAUAGUAGUAAGCACAUUUAAUGAGUGCACCAUUCCUAUUCUCAUCAUGGUCCAGGAUUAUUUCAUUUAAUCUCCCCACUCUGACAAGGCACGGCCUGAUAGGGCUCCCACUCACUAACUCUGCUGUAGCCACUUUCAACUUGAAAAGCAAUUCACCUGUUACUUUAUUUCAAAAUGAGUUUAUUUGGGAAUAGCCAAAAGAAUUAUAAUUCAGGAUGUGCAUGCUGUGACAAACUAUAGGCAGAUUCAGAAAGAAGGGAGCUGCUUUUGUAGAGGAAAAGGGGGAGAGGGAGGGGCUGUCCUAAAGGAAAGUCCCCUGGGGAGAGGAACAGUUCAGCACGGCAAUGACUUGGCAGUUGAGCUGUGGCAUUUCUGGUUGGCUGGGCUGUUGCCCGGUGGAGAAGGAAAUCUUCCUUUAGUAGCAAAGCAGUUGUGCUUCCUGCUGGAGAUGCAAGCAUCUGUGUUUUUCUGUUUGGUGUCGUUGAGGAUGUGAGACACAGCCGAGACGUCCACAUACAGGCCUUCCUGACUUCAGUUAAGUUAGGGUUUCUUUUAUCAAUUUCCAUACCACAAGCCUCCUUCCUCAAAACAAAUGGACAGAAACCUUUACAAAGAGUGUCACGUCUACCAAACACACCUUUCCAAAUGUCGAAG